CUGUUUGUAGAACUGCCUGCAUGGGCACGGUUCUGCCUACCACUGAAAGGAAGACUAAUGGGGCGAUAUUUCGUUCUUUUCUCUUUUUAUACACCCGUCGCGUAGCAAUGUCUUUUGACAGCAUGUUUUAUUUCCACGGGGUUCACCGCAGCUAAAGAACUAUGGAAGAUAAAAAAAUUCGAAUAGAAAAAUUAGAAGAGGCAGUAAAAAAUUUUAUAUUAGAUAUUAGUAAAAUGGAGCUAACCCUGGAAAAUCUUCCCGCAGAAUUAAGUUCGCUAAUGCCCAACUUUGUUAAGCAUAUCCAGACUAUCGAUAAGCUUUCUAGUGUAGACAUCGAAAUUCCCGGGGCAGUUAUCGAGUUAUAUAAAUAACUUAUGUCGUAAAAAAUGAAGGCCAAAGCUCUGACGCGUUUUUCCGGGAUCACUUGCUACAAACUAUGCAAGGUUGUCGAGUUGCUAAAGGUCGAGUCGAAGCUUUUGAGAAAUUUCAAGAGUCUUUGCAAAGUGAAGUUAAUAUACAAUUUCCUUUAUUGUUAGAAGCCUACCAACAGAGCGAAGCAAUUUUUACUCAGACGCGGGAACAACAGUAACAUUAAUAAAAUGGACGCUACCGCUUCUUUACGAAUGGGAGAAGAAAUUUUA
This is an RNA transcript of Zophobas morio, 641 nucleotides long. It is a transcript of the gene named mediator of RNA polymerase II transcription subunit 10-like, with no coding region annotated. Lineage: Eukaryota; Metazoa; Arthropoda; Insecta; Coleoptera; Tenebrionidae. The record is from RefSeq and is a predicted model, not a curated record. The transcript is spliced from 6 exons.